UAUUAUAUGUAUGUAAAUACGUAAAACAAACAAAACACACCAAACUGUGAUAUAUCUUCUAUAUUUUUAUUACGUUAAACUGCUUAGACAGUAAAUUUAGUUUUCCAAAAAUAUUUAUUAUAGUUUAAAAAUUAUACUUACGUGCUAUGAGCGAAAGCCAAUACUUUUGCCCUCGGCUUAUCGACUAUUUAGCUAUUGUCGGAGCACAUCCUAAUUCUUCUAAAAGAAGAUCUUUGUAUGAAUUACAAAACUGUAAUGAAGAAUAUAGUAGUGGAAUCAGUUCAACUUCGGUCAAUAAUGACGACAACUUCUUUAUUCAGAAUCCAGACUUACUUCGAAGAUAUCCAGCAGAUGAUCAUAAAGAUUUUAUACUACCAGAAACUAUGUCAUAUUUUUGUCAACCAGAAGGAUGUGUUUCCUUUAGACGUAGUCGAUCAGAAUCGAACAAAGUAACAUCAUUUGUAUUUACACUAACAGAUAAAGAUACAACUCGAACUAGGUAUGGUGUUUGUGUAAACUUUUAUAGGCGUGUUAGCCAAUGUUAUACAAACACAAAUACUUCAAAGGAUCUUGACUCGAGUGAAGAUCAAUAUUUAAAAAAACACCAAAAGAAUCAUUCAUCGGUAUUUUUAAAAUGUCAUUCCACAAGUUCAUUUAGUAGAUCAGUCUCUGAGGAAUAUCCUACAAAUAAAUUAAGUGAUAUGUCUGCAACUAAUGUUCAACCACAGCCAGAAUCUCAAUAUUUAUAUUCUUUAACAUCAUUGUGCCUUCUCUCUCAUCAUCCAUUAUUUUCAAAUUUUCGUUCAUGUUUAUUUUAUUUAAAAAACAUAAUUGAUUCUUGUAAUAAAAGAAUUAAUCGGAGCAGAAAAAAAUAUCAUAAAAGUAAAGAGUGUAUAUGGAGCUUAUUAACUGGAUUAUUAACUCAAGCGAAUUCGCCCAGGAUUAUACAAUACAUCAAAGAAAUUGAAAUGUGGAUUUUACGUUUACUUAGCACUCCAGUUCCAGUACCAGGAAAAACAAAAAUCGAGGUUUAUUUAUUUUCGCAAAAUCAGUGCCAACCACCUUUAACAUUUGCAUUGCCGGACCAUACGAGAUUUUCAUUGGUCGAUUUCCCAUUACAUUUACCCCUAGAGUUAUUAGGAGUAGAUACGUGUCUCUAUGUACUAACUAUUAUUUUAUUAGAAAAUAAAGUCGUCUUCCAAUCUAAAGAUUAUAAUGCACUCUCAAUGUCAGUAAUGGCUUUAGUUGCACUUAUGUAUCCUUUACAAUACAUGUUUACUGUAAUUCCAUUGCUGCCCACUAGCUUACCGAAAUCGGAAAUGCUAUUUGAGAGUCCUGUGCCUUAUGUAGUUGGAGUUCCAUCCAGUUUUUUUACAACAAAACGAAAUUUCCGAUUUCCUAAAGACGUUUGGAUAAUAGAUUUGGAUUCGAAUAAAAUAACUCCACCAAUAACCGUUAACCGAGAGGAUGCUAUACCACCUUUACCUAAAUCGGAAUCGAUAACAUUGAAAAAUAACUUAAAAUCUGCUUUAAAUGGGCUUUCCCGAAUUAACAUAAAUAAUAAAUCAACGAAUUACUUUCCGGAAAACGAAAUUAUGUCAAUAACACGGCCUUCUAUCGAUACAAAUACUGGAGAAGAAGUUUUAAAAAGAAAAAUCGAAAACAUAAAAUUCACAAAAAAAAACGAAUACGUCGAUAAUACCACUAAUAAAGAAAUAAGAAGACAAAUAUCAACAAAUACAGCAUUCAACACGGUUGAUAUUGACUCAGUGGAUAUUGCAAUUAGAGUGGCCAUGGUGCGUUUUUUUUUAUCCGGCGACGUACUGGCAAAUCUCACAGAACAUUCGCGGACACUGAGACUUUACCCCAGACCAGUGGUAUUCUUUCAAAUCAACUCGUUUCUGAAAAGUCGCCCGAAUCCGUCACUAUUCACUUGUCAACUGUCUCGGACGCAAGCAGUAGAUUAUUUCGCCGAAUGGGCAUUAACACCGAACAACGUAGUAUUCCAACGAAUUCAGACAGGUGUCUGCGAUCCGUUCAUGAUUGGAGAUAAACUGAAAUGGUUUGCGAAUAAUUUGGAACCUAUUGUGUUUACCGUCUGGCAAGAGAAUUGCAUGAUUCAAAACAUAAUGAACAUCAACGAGAAUUCUAACCGUCGUUCAGUAUUCGAAUUAAGUCAUCGGUCCGACAGUGACAGCAGUGACACUGGCAGUAGCGAUGACGAGAGAUCAUCGCGUUACCACAAAGAAUUUACAGGAAAUGUCACUGGUGAUAUAAUUAAAAUAGAAAACCGAAGGCUUAACAUAGGACCAAUAGUGCAAGGUGUACAUUCUGCCUAUGAACCUCCGAUAACAUUACAGAUCCCAAUGGCGACAGAUGAUAGCCCAGAUGAUGGUACCGUUGAAUCGACGGGCAGCAAAUCAAAUGGUUCAUCUCCAUCCAGUAGCCAUAGUGACAUGAGCUCGCCUAUGUUCAAACCCGAAUCAUUAAUAGACAUCGUUAGAUGUAGUCAACUGCAACAACAACCAUCACAAUUGACUGCAACUGCUUCGGGUAACAAACUUCUUCUAAGCAGACAUAAUACAGGCGGUAGUGAUUCUGCUUUAAACCAUGUAGUUGUAGCACAAAAACCAAAUAAUAAUUUUAGACCAACAACACAAACAUCUACAGAAUUUUAUGAAACAGUACCUUUAACAGCAGAAAAAAAACAAAACAUCAUAUCAAGUCCAUCUUCGUCGAGAAAAGGAAGCCUGAGUAGUCUACACCAACAGUUGACUAGGCAAUCCAGUCAAAACAGUUCAAUUUUAGAACAUUUCGCUUAUCAAGCUAAAGAACUUGUUAGAGAAACAGCCAGACAAAGUAGUCAAGAAGGUGCUGGAGGAAUAUUAGCACAUGUUGCAGACAAACUAACCACCCAAGCAAAAAAAGCUGCAGGUGAAGCUACUAAAUCUGUACAUGAAGCCAGUAAAACAGCAUUUGAAGCCAGUAAAACAGCAGCAGGCGUAAGCAAAAAUACUUUUGACGAUUUGACAUACGUCGGAAAAAGCACAAUUGGUGACUUAACGAAAAGUGCAAAACAAGUUGCUUCCAAAAAAGGAUUUAAGGUUGGAUUAUUGAGUGAAUCUACUUCAUUAAGCCAGCAGGAUCAAAGUUUUGAUGAUGAUGAUAUUAAAGAUUCUAUGAAUUCGUCUACAAAUCCAGUUUCAUCCAGUUCUAUUUCAGAAAUUAGAAAACCAUCAGUAACAUCGAUGGGAACGGGUGCCACUAAAGAUUUCUUUUCAAACAUAACAAGUGAUAUAAAUGGAUUAGCGAAUCAAACUUCAAGCAUGUUUAACGAUUUAUUUGGUAACAAGCAACCAAAAAAUAACAAAUCAUCACUUACAUUACCAGUGACUAGAACUAAAGAGCGAACAUCUUCCGGAUCUUUUCCGACAAAAGUAGGUCGGAAUGAUUUAGUAGAAAAGUCUAAUUUGAUUAGACAUUCAAACCCAAGAAAACUAAGUGAAACAUCGAGAGUACCAAACAAAAAAUCAAUCAAACCUAAUAGUCACAUGGACAACGAAGCUUUUUUGAAGGAUGUAACCAAACAAAUUCUUGAUGGAGAAGGAAUUGGUUGGCUGAAGCUCAGUAGAUUUAAAAAAUUGAUGGAAGAAGAGGGUUACCGCAAUUUAGUAGUCAGUAAACUAAACCAAACAUUGGAUAAUAAAAUUAGCCCUAGCGAUCACAUUGAUGAUGUGUAUAUCAGUAGACCAGUUUGGAAAGGAAUGUUAAAAGCCUUAUUAGCAAUAAUUCAUGGAUUAGAAGUGUCUUUUAGUAAUCAAUGUGGAGGUGGUCUAGCAUCUGCAUUCCAAGUAUUAGAAAUAGCUCACACUCACUAUUGGACUAAGGACAUGUCUAUGACUGGUUUUGAAUCUCAAACAUCCAGUCCAUUUGGUAGUCGUGAAAAUGUACAGUCACCUUUACAAAGUCCAAGUAUUGCAAGCUCACCAAUUUCAAGUGUUUAUCAAGCAUCUAGAAAAUCUUCUCAAACUAGUACAUCUGGUUUAUCAGAAUGUAAAAACAAUCCAGCUGGAAAAUUUGCUCAAGAUUUUUCAUUAACAGACGAUGGCGAAGGAUCAAUUACAAAUAAUUCUUCCAAUGAAGUUUUUAAUGACUUAAUGAAUAUUGAAAAUAUUAAACAAGAACAAGUAUCAACGAAUCCUUUUUUGGGAAAUGAGGGAGAAGUGGCUACUAUUGGACCUGUAGUGGUGUCCGAUGAAUCCAGUUGUAAUAGUAGUUCUGUAUUAGUUAAUAAUCCAUCAUUUUAUUUGAAACGGAUGUCAAGCAACAGCAGUAGAAAUAAUACAUCGUUUUUCCGAAGCGCUGUAUCAGACAGUGAAUUGGAUAAUUCGGGACUUUUCAAGGUUACGAAUAAAAAUCGCACUCAAAGCAUUUGGUCCAGUAAAUCAUCGCUGAGCGCUGGAUUCCGAUACCACGGAGGUAAUCUUUUGAAUACUGCAUCUGGGUCGCCUAGUCCGGAUUCAGGACGAACAUAUUUAUUCGAAGGUAUACUGGGAAAAGAACGGAGCCCGAUUUGGAAUCAAUUGAAAUUUUGGGAAGAUGUGUUUAUCGAUGCUGUCAGCCAAGAAAGAGAUAUGAUAGGAAUGGAUCAAGGACCAAUAGAAAUGAUGGAAAGAUAUAAGAAUCUAAAUCAAAGUGAACGGAAACGCCUGGAAUAUGACGAAGAUAAACUUCUGUCAAUAAUGAUAUACAAUUUAAUAGCAUUCAUGGUCAUGGUAAAUGUUCCUAAAGAAAGUGUGAUGAAAAUCGUAAGAACUUUGGUUGGAAAAAGCAGAGUAACAAAUUGUUACGCGACUGAAAUAACGAGUUUAAUGGCACAACUUUCCAAUCUGAAUGGAAAUGAUGUUGACUUGAAGCCGUCGAAUUCGAGACAGGCACACAGGCAAAGUUUUGCAGUACACUGUGGCGAUUCUUCGGGGGAACUGCUGUUCUUAGAGGUCAGAGACGACGGACUGGUGUUGAGAUCUGUAAACGGAGUGAUAGUCAGUAGAUGGUGGUAUGAGCGGAUAGUGAACAUGACUUACAGCCCUAGGAGUAAAAUAUUUUGUUUGUGGAGAACCGCCAACGGUGGACAACUUCAGCUGAAUAAAUAUUUUACGAAAAAAUGCAAAGAUUUGUACACCCGCAUCAAGCAUUCGAUGGAAAAGGCCGCGGAAAGAGGACAAGGUAUUAUACCCGGAGUCGAAUUAGGAGGAGAGUUUCCUGUCAAAGACAUGGCUACUGGGGAAGGUGGUAUACUCCAAGUUUGCAUGGAAGGUGUUGGCUUAUUAUUCGCUGACAGCAAGUUUUUUGUUCGGCUUGAUCACGUACGAAAAUGUUUUACAGUCCAAAAGAAAAUAUUUGUUUUGGAAGAGUACAAUCCAAAAAUGAAACAUAUUAUUCAAAGGCAAUACGAAUCACCAAUGGCUAGCGAAAUGUUAUUGUCUUUGCACCGCAUCAUGUCUAUUGUAUAUGCGCAAACUUUGAUGCUGAGAACGAUGAAAGUCACGGAGAGCUAAAUUAUUAUAAUAAUAAACCGGAAUGUUCUUGUUUGUCACUCCUACAUUAAGGCUGGACAGAUUUGCUAUGCGGUAUUAUGCGUGUUUUCUUAUAUCGCUGCUGGUCACAAACGGACAAUUAAUCAAACAAAUAAGG
Molecule: unclassified non-coding RNA, 5694 nt
Filed under: Sipha flava (yellow sugarcane aphid)
Lineage: Eukaryota; Metazoa; Arthropoda; Insecta; Hemiptera; Aphididae
Description: mAP kinase-activating death domain protein, transcript variant X8
Source: RNAcentral